UCUGUUACUCCAGCUUCUUCGGCACCUGUUUUACAGACACCUAAAGCUACAUCGUCAACGUUAUAUUUUGAUAGUUUGACGGUUAAUGCUGGUAAUGGUGGUUUUCUUCAUUGCAUUCAGAUGGAUACAUCUGUCAACGCCGCUAAUCAGGUUGUUUCUGUUGGUGCUGAUAUUGCUUUUGAUGCCGACCCUAAAUUUUUUGCCUGUUUGGUUCGCUUUGAGUCUUCUUCGGUUCCGACUACCCUCCCGACUGCCUAUGAUGUUUAUCCUUUGGAUGGUCGCCAUGAUGGUGGUUAUUAUACCGUCAAGGACUGUGUGACUAUUGACGUCCUUCCCCGUACGCC
Molecule: ribosomal RNA, 344 nt
Filed under: uncultured prokaryote
Description: partial 16S ribosomal RNA
Source: RNAcentral